Sinocyclocheilus anshuiensis is the source of this 765-nucleotide long non-coding RNA. RefSeq lists it as uncharacterized. Lineage: Eukaryota; Metazoa; Chordata; Actinopteri; Cypriniformes; Cyprinidae. The record is from RefSeq and is a predicted model, not a curated record. The transcript has 6 exons.
UUCUUGUGUCUGAACAAUUACAGCCAACCUGAAAAAAUGUCACACGUGUUUUGUGCUUUAGGAAGUUAUAAUAUGAGUCUAAACUGUUAGCAUGAUGUUAACUCUAAACUGCUGGAUGAUACAAGUUUGUUAAAAUGGUAGGAGUGGGGUAAUUUGAGCUGAAAGUCCUGGGGGUUGCGGGGAGCUGGAGCCUAACCCAGCGUCUUGAGCCACAGGUGGGGAAACUCCCUGGAUGUAUAGUCAAAUGUCUGUCUCUUGGCCUAGAGAGGGACAACUGUGUGGUGCUUAUAGAUCUCUGGUCACUUCCUCCCCAUAUGGAUCAGCUCAGAUACAGCUGCUCUGAGGCACCAUGUGUCUGGUGUUGGAUGACUCUGCUGAAUCUUGCUCCGCUCCCUGAAUCUUUCACAUAAUUGGGUCUCAUUUCUGUAACUGAAUAAAAUCCGGUACACUCCUCUGCCAUGCAAGUGCAGAAACAUGGCUGACAAGCCCAACCUGACGGAAAUCACAUCCUUUGAUAAAACCAAACUCAGGAAGACAGAGACCCAAGAAAAAAAUCCCUAGCCUACCAAAGAAACUAUUGAACAGGAGAGGCAGGGAGAGUCCACGCCUUGAAUGCUGCUUUUAACCGCAGUCACACACAGCAGAGAGUGAAGGGAAUGACUGAAAUCCACAGGAGAGGGACUUUGGGAGGAAUUGAACCAGUAACUGAUGUGUCAUUUGUUUCAUGGUUUAGUUUGUUUGUUCGAGAACUAAAUAAAAAGAAAU